AUUGAACGCUGGCGGCAUGCCUUACACAUGCAAGUCGAACGGCAGCACGGGUGCUUGCACCUGGUGGCGAGUGGCGAACGGGUGAGUAAUACAUCGGAACAUGUCCUGUAGUGGGGGAUAGCCCGGCGAAAGCCGGAUUGAUACCGCAUACGAUCUACGGAUGAAAGCGGGGGACCUUCGGGCCUCGCGCUAUGUGGUUGGCCGAUGGCUGAUUAGCUAGUUGGUGGGGUAAAGGCCUACCAAGGCGACGAUCAGUAGCUGGUCUGAGAGGACGACCAGCCACACUGGGACUGAGACACGGCCCAGACUCCUACGGGAGGCAGCAGUGGGGAAUUUUGGACAAUGGGCGAAAGCCUGAUCCAGCAAUGCCGCGUGUGUGAAGAAGGCCUUCGGGUUGUAAAGCACUUUUGUCCGGAAAGAAAUCCUUGGCCCUAAUACGGUCGGGGGAUGACGGUACCGGAAGAAUAAGCACCGGCUAACUACGUG
Molecule: ribosomal RNA, 486 nt
Filed under: uncultured bacterium
Lineage: Bacteria
Description: partial 16S ribosomal RNA
Rfam family: Bacterial small subunit ribosomal RNA
Source: RNAcentral